AGCUUUGCGCAGUGGCAGUAUCGUUGCCAAUGAGGUUUAUCCGAGGCGCGAUUAUUGCUAAUUGAAAAAAAAUGCUGCCAAUUAAAUUAUAAUAAUGUUUUUUUUAAAGUUUGACACAUUUAUUGCUGUUUACUAAAG
Molecule: small nuclear RNA, 138 nt
Filed under: Myotis brandtii (Brandt's bat)
Lineage: Eukaryota; Metazoa; Chordata; Mammalia; Chiroptera; Vespertilionidae
Description: U4 spliceosomal RNA
Rfam family: U4 spliceosomal RNA
About the family: U4 small nuclear RNA (U4 snRNA) is a component of the major U2-dependent spliceosome.
Source: Rfam by way of RNAcentral